GAUUAAAUGGCUGAAUAAUAGGCAAUAGAUUGUAAAUCUAUGUAUGGGUAUAUGACUCUUUAAUUA
This 66-nucleotide transfer RNA is filed under the name Medetera sp. Qilemoge-2020. RNAcentral's name for it is "tRNA-Tyr". It matches the Rfam family "tRNA". From Rfam's summary of the family: Transfer RNA (tRNA) molecules are approximately 80 nucleotides in length. Their secondary structure includes four short double-helical elements and three loops (D, anti-codon, and T loops). The record is from RNAcentral. Lineage: Eukaryota; Metazoa; Arthropoda; Insecta; Diptera; Dolichopodidae.